GCCCUCGUGGUGAAAUUGGUAGACACAAAGGACUUAAAAUCCUUGCCCGUAUGGGAGUGCCAGUUCGAGUCUGGCCGAGGGCACCA
Molecule: transfer RNA, 86 nt
Filed under: Candidatus Pelagibacterales bacterium
Lineage: Bacteria; Pseudomonadati; Pseudomonadota; Alphaproteobacteria; Candidatus Pelagibacterales
Description: Pelagibacterales bacterium tRNA-Leu
Rfam family: tRNA
About the family: Transfer RNA (tRNA) molecules are approximately 80 nucleotides in length. Their secondary structure includes four short double-helical elements and three loops (D, anti-codon, and T loops).
Source: RNAcentral